UUAAGCGACUAAGCGUACACGGUGGAUGCCCUGGCAGUCAGAGGCGAUGAAGGACGUGCUAAUCUGCGAUAAGCGUCGGUGAGGUGAUAUGAACCGUUAUAACCGGCGAUUUCCGAAUGGGGAAACCCAGUGUGUUUCGACACACUAUCAUUAACUGAAUCCAUAGGUUAAUGAGGCGAACCGGGGGAACUGAAACAUCUAAGUACCCCGAGGAAAAGAAAUCAACCGAGAUUCCCCCAGUAGCGGCGAGCGAACGGGGAGGAGCCCAGAGCCUGAAUCAGUGUGUGUGUUAGUGGAAGCGUCUGGAAAGGCGCGCGAUACAGGGUGACAGCCCCGUACACAAAAAUGCACAUAUUGUGAGCUCGAUGAGUAGGGCGGGACACGUGGUAUCCUGUCUGAAUAUGGGGGGACCAUCCUCCAAGGCUAAAUACUCCUGACUGACCGAUAGUGAACCAGUACCGUGAGGGAAAGGCGAAAAGAACCCCGGCGAGGGGAGUGAAAAAGAACCUGAAACCGUGUACGUACAAGCAGUGGGAGCCUCUUUAUGGGGUGACUGCGUACCUUUUGUAUAAUGGGUCAGCGACUUAUAUUCUGUAGCAAGGUUAACCGAAUAGGGGAGCCGAAGGGAAACCGAGUCUUAACUGGGCGUUAAGUUGCAGGGUAUAGACCCGAAACCCGGUGAUCUAGCCAUGGGCAGGUUGAAGGUUGGGUAACACUAACUGGAGGACCGAACCGACUAAUGUUGAAAAAUUAGCGGAUGACUUGUGGCUGGGGGUGAAAGGCCAAUCAAACCGGGAGAUAGCUGGUUCUCCCCGAAAGCUAUUUAGGUAGCGCCUCGUGAAUUCAUCUCCGGGGGUAGAGCACUGUUUCGGCAAGGGGGUCAUCCCGACUUACCAACCCGAUGCAAACUGCGAAUACCGGAGAAUGUUAUCACGGGAGACACACGGCGGGUGCUAACGUCCGUCGUGAAGAGGGAAACAACCCAGACCGCCAGCUAAGGUCCCAAAGUCAUGGUUAAGUGGGAAACGAUGUGGGAAGGCCCAGACAGCCAGGAUGUUGGCUUAGAAGCAGCCAUCAUUUAAAGAAAGCGUAAUAGCUCACUGGUCGAGUCGGCCUGCGCGGAAGAUGUAACGGGGCUAAACCAUGCACCGAAGCUGCGGCAGCGACACUAUGUGUUGUUGGGUAGGGGAGCGUUCUGUAAGCCUGUGAAGGUGGCCUGUGAGGGUUGCUGGAGGUAUCAGAAGUGCGAAUGCUGACAUAAGUAACGAUAAAGCGGGUGAAAAGCCCGCUCGCCGGAAGACCAAGGGUUCCUGUCCAACGUUAAUCGGGGCAGGGUGAGUCGACCCCUAAGGCGAGGCCGAAAGGCGUAGUCGAUGGGAAACAGGUUAAUAUUCCUGUACUUGGUGUUACUGCGAAGGGGGGACGGAGAAGGCUAUGUUGGCCGGGCGACGGUUGUCCCGGUUUAAGCGUGUAGGCUGGUUUUCCAGGCAAAUCCGGAAAACCAAGGCUGAGGCGUGAUGACGAGGCACUACGGUGCUGAAGCGACAAAUGCCCUGCUUCCAGGAAAAGCCUCUAAGCAUCAGGUAACAUCAAAUCGUACCCCAAACCGACACAGGUGGUCAGGUAGAGAAUACCAAGGCGCUUGAGAGAACUCGGGUGAAGGAACUAGGCAAAAUGGUGCCGUAACUUCGGGAGAAGGCACGCUGAUAUGUAGGUGAAGCGACUUGCUCGUGGAGCUGAAAUCAGUCGAAGAUACCAGCUGGCUGCAACUGUUUAUUAAAAACACAGCACUGUGCAAACACGAAAGUGGACGUAUACGGUGUGACGCCUGCCCGGUGCCGGAAGGUUAAUUGAUGGGGUUAGCGGUAACGCGAAGCUCUUGAUCGAAGCCCCGGUAAACGGCGGCCGUAACUAUAACGGUCCUAAGGUAGCGAAAUUCCUUGUCGGGUAAGUUCCGACCUGCACGAAUGGCGUAAUGAUGGCCAGGCUGUCUCCACCCGAGACUCAGUGAAAUUGAACUCGCUGUGAAGAUGCAGUGUACCCGCGGCAAGACGGAAAGACCCCGUGAACCUUUACUAUAGCUUGACACUGAACAUUGAGCCUUGAUGUGUAG
Molecule: ribosomal RNA, 2113 nt
Filed under: Escherichia coli
Lineage: Bacteria; Pseudomonadati; Pseudomonadota; Gammaproteobacteria; Enterobacterales; Enterobacteriaceae
Description: bacterial LSU rRNA
Rfam family: Bacterial large subunit ribosomal RNA
Source: RNAcentral